AAGUCCAAAAAUUGAUGCAAAAACUGUUAGAUUAAUUAAUUUUUAAUUAGUUUUAAAAUUCCUUUCGUACUACUUAAAACUUUUUCUAAAUUAGGAUAGAAACCAACCUGAUUCUCAUCGGUCUAAACUCAGAUCAUGUAGGAUAUUAAAAGUUGAACAAACUUCUCAAUUUAACUUCUUCAUUAAAUUUAUUAUCCUAAUCCAACAU
Molecule: ribosomal RNA, 208 nt
Filed under: Bothriocroton concolor (echidna tick)
Lineage: Eukaryota; Metazoa; Arthropoda; Arachnida; Ixodida; Ixodidae
Description: 16S ribosomal RNA
Source: RNAcentral